RNAcentral lists this long non-coding RNA (612 nucleotides) under Mytilus galloprovincialis (Mediterranean mussel). The record is from RNAcentral. Lineage: Eukaryota; Metazoa; Mollusca; Bivalvia; Mytilida; Mytilidae.
UAUAUUUUUUCUGUUUGAAAAAUAUUGCUUAAAUCUGUUAAAGAAAAUGUCAACACACCACCUUUGUUCCAACAAUGAAUUAUUAAUUUCAAAGAAUUAUUGAUCUCAACUGGACCCAAUUUUUGGAUAUUUAGGGAAGAGACAGCAUUAAUAUACGUAAGGCUCGUAUGUGUCUGCCCUGUGUAUCUGUCGUAUUAUAAUAUCCAGACAGAAAAGAUUAAACCGAGGAUUAAACAUACAAAAUAUGUAAAUAUUUCUAACAAGAAAGAAAUCGUUUAUGAUUUACACCCACUAAAAUUGAUUAUAUAUAUAUCUAUUACAUUAAAUAUCGUUUAUACUCUGAAUCAAUUAUAAAUACAAAAAAAAAUGUAUUCUUCACAACGGAAAAACCACGGAAAAACCAAUAAAAUCCCCCUCGAAGAGCCCACAAAUGAUCAUGUGAUAACAAAACUAUCCACUGAUUUAAUAGGAAAUACUUGUAUUCAAAUAGUAUAUGAGGAUCCUUGCAGUUUGUAAGUAAUUUUGUACAAAUAUUAGAAAAUGUAGAAAUAAUGAAUUAUUAAGAGCGAAUAAAGAGAUACACUAUUGAAUUCAUAAUAUUUAAAAAGCUGG